Molecule: non-coding RNA, 180 nt
Filed under: Verrucomicrobiia bacterium
Lineage: Bacteria; Pseudomonadati; Verrucomicrobiota; Verrucomicrobiia
Description: 6S RNA
Rfam family: 6S / SsrS RNA
About the family: E. coli 6S RNA was the first non coding RNA to be sequenced, but its function was unknown until recently. It consists of 184 nucleotides that fold into an extended hairpin structure with a large single-stranded internal bulge.
Source: RNAcentral
UUUUCCCUGCGCUGUACGUGACCGAACAUGAUUCUUUGAGCCGAUACGAUCGACCAAGGAGGCUAGGCCCGUCCGUAGCCGACAUGCCUUCACAGGACGUCGAAAGCGGAGGGGCGGUCAUCCACCUGUUGCACAACAGGGUUCAAAGAACUCGUUCACCACGGCAGCUGCGGGGAAUUU